GUGUGAUGAUACAUUUUUAACCCCGAGAACUUGUUCGAUGAUGAACAAAACUACGCAACAACACUCUAAUUUUUUACUGACU
RNAcentral lists this small nucleolar RNA (82 nucleotides) under Exophiala xenobiotica. RNAcentral describes it as "A. fimigatus snoRNA Afu_298". It matches the Rfam family "A. fimigatus snoRNA Afu_298". The record is from Rfam by way of RNAcentral. Lineage: Eukaryota; Fungi; Ascomycota; Eurotiomycetes; Chaetothyriales; Herpotrichiellaceae.